UACGUAGGGGGCUAGCGUUGUCCGGAUUUAUUGGGCGUAAAGAGCGUGUAGGCGGCCUGGUAGGUCUGCUGUGAAAACUCGAGGCUCAACCUCGAGAUGUCGGCGGAAACCAUCUGGCUAGAGUCCGGAAGAGGAGAGUGGAAUUCCCGGUGUAGCGGUGAAAUGCGCAGAUAUCGGGAAGAACACCCGUGGCGAAGGCGGCUCUCUGGGACGGUACUGACGCUGAGACGCGAAAGCGUGGGGAGCGAACAGG
Molecule: ribosomal RNA, 253 nt
Filed under: uncultured bacterium
Lineage: Bacteria
Description: partial 16S ribosomal RNA
Rfam family: Bacterial small subunit ribosomal RNA
Source: RNAcentral